RNAcentral lists this long non-coding RNA (470 nucleotides) under Homo sapiens (human). Its description in RNAcentral is "HSALNT0191038". The record is from RNAcentral. Lineage: Eukaryota; Metazoa; Chordata; Mammalia; Primates; Hominidae.
CAGAAAGACUGAUUUGAGUGGUAACUCCAGUCUUUCUGCUCUGCUGCCUUGUCACUUCUUUAUUGUAAUUUAAAAAAAAAAAACAAAAAACAAGGUGAAGGAGCCAGGCAUGGUGUCUCAUGCCUAUCAUUCCUGUAUUUUGGGAGGCUGAGCUGGGCGGAUGACUUGAAGCCAAGAGUUUGAGACCAUCCUGUGCAACGAAGUGAGGCCCCAUAUCUACAAAAAAUAAAUUAUCUGGGUGUUGUGGCAUGUGUCUGUAGUCCCAACUGCUCAGAAGGCUGAGAUGGGAGGAUUGCUUAAGCCCAGAAGUUCAAGGCUUCAGUGAGCUAUGAUUAUACCACUGCACUCCAGCCUGGGCAACAGAGCAAGAAACUGUCUAAAAAGAAAAAAAAACAACAAUCCUGGCAAUCUCCAUUCCAGUAUUGAUGAAGCCACCAUUUCUUCCAGUCUCCAGCCACAGCACCCUGCAG